UGAGGAAUAUUGGGCAAUGCCCGCAAGGGUGACCCAGCAACGCCGCGUGGAGGAUGAAUGUCGUAAGAUUGUAAACUCCUGUUAGAGGGGAAGAAUAGUACCGGUUAGACCGGUAUAUGACUGUACCCUCAGAGAAAGCCCCGGCUGACUACGUGCCAGCAGCCGCGGUAAUACGUAAGGGGCAAGCGUUGUCCGGAUUUACUGGGUGUAAAGGGCGCGCAGGCGGGAUAAAAAGUCAGUGGUGAAAUCCUACAGCUUAACUGUAGAACUGCCUUUGAUAAUUUUAUUCUUGAGUUCGGGAGAGGGUGACGUAAUUUCAGGUGUGGUGGUGAAAUACGUAGAUAUCUGGAAGAACACCAGUUGCGAAGGCGGUCUCUUGGUCCGACACUGACGCUGAGGCGCGAAAGCGUGGGGAGCAAACA
Molecule: ribosomal RNA, 422 nt
Filed under: uncultured bacterium
Lineage: Bacteria
Description: bacterial SSU rRNA
Rfam family: Bacterial small subunit ribosomal RNA
Source: RNAcentral